UUUUUUAUCCGAGGCCGAAAGGUCGAGGUAAUCCGUUGAACCCGACUCGUGCUAGGGAUAGGGAAUUGUAAUUGUUUCCCUUGAACGAGGAAUUCCCAGUAAGCGCAAGUCAUCAGCUUGCGUUGAUUACGUCCCUGCCCUUUGUACACACCGCAAGCUGAUGACUUGCGCUUACUGGGAAUUCCUCGUUCAAGGGAAACAAUUACAAUUCCCUAU
Molecule: ribosomal RNA, 216 nt
Filed under: Massilia sp. YIM B02763
Lineage: Bacteria; Pseudomonadati; Pseudomonadota; Betaproteobacteria; Burkholderiales; Oxalobacteraceae
Description: partial 16S ribosomal RNA
Rfam family: Eukaryotic small subunit ribosomal RNA
Source: RNAcentral